GUGCAAAGGUAGCAUAAUCACUUGUUCCUUAAUUAGGGACUUGUAUGAACGGUUAAAUGAGGGCAAAACUGUCUCCUACAGUUAAUCAAUGAACCUGAUCUUACAGUACAAACGCUGUAAUUUACUUAUAAGACGAGAAGACCCUGUGGAGCUUUAAACUUCUACAUUAAAUUAAAACUAUAUUAUAAUGUAAAAUUUUAAGUUGGGGCGACUGUGGAGUAAAAAAAAACCUCCAUGAAACUCGACUAAUCCUCGUCAUAAAGGCCAACAAGCCUAACAAAAACGUUUGACCCAAUCAUAUUGAAUACCGAACCAAGUUACCCCAGGGAUAACAGCGCCAUCCCCUUAAAGAGUUCACAUCGCCAAGGGGGUUUAC
Molecule: ribosomal RNA, 376 nt
Filed under: Phelsuma guttata
Lineage: Eukaryota; Metazoa; Chordata; Lepidosauria; Squamata; Gekkonidae
Description: partial 16S ribosomal RNA
Rfam family: Bacterial large subunit ribosomal RNA
Source: RNAcentral